UAAUCUAAUCUAAGGGAGGGUAACAGGAGGAAUGGUUCAUAGCGAUGGAGUGACUUUGACAUUGCGGCCGUACUUGUAUAGUAUCUUGGAGGAUCGUCAUCUGAUGCACACAAAAGCAAUUUUUUCCACACAAUCUCUGGAAAAGCAUCUGUAAAAUGAUCGAAUUUAGUCCAACAAUAAAAAGCGAGGAGCGAGGAGCCAUGAUUAAAUUAUUUUAUCCCAUUCAUGUGUGCUGGGAGCCAACAACAGGGAGCGAGCUGACUCAGCCGCUCUCGGACAGUUUUAGGGGAGGGAUUGUGCUGCAGGAAGCUGCACAAACCAAACCUGCAAAGAGAACACCGGGCUUUGGAAGCCACUUAGCGAAGUGGCCAAGCUGUGUGUAAUGACAGCAAUGGCGACGUCAAGCAAUGCACAAGGACUUUUCCCCAGAAGCUUCCCCAGAAAUGACUUUUCACGAUCAGAAUUUGAUUUAUUCAGUCUGCUAACAUUUGGUUUAGAAAAGACCAAACAAUUAAAUCAUUUUAUCGCAA
This is a long non-coding RNA of Larimichthys crocea (large yellow croaker), 530 nucleotides long. RefSeq lists it as uncharacterized. Lineage: Eukaryota; Metazoa; Chordata; Actinopteri; Sciaenidae. The record is from RefSeq and is a predicted model, not a curated record. The transcript is spliced from 3 exons.